This 251-nucleotide long non-coding RNA is filed under the name Hordeum vulgare. Its description in RNAcentral is "long non-coding RNA (HVUL_LNC007992)". The record is from RNAcentral. Lineage: Eukaryota; Viridiplantae; Streptophyta; Magnoliopsida; Poales; Poaceae.
AUGUGGAGUGCACUCACUCCCCAUAUCUAAAUCCGGUGUCAUCUCCGAUCCAUCCACAUGACGUAUCGUAACUCACAGCCGGUGCAACAGACCUAAAGUGUACACCACAUGCACACGUUUUAGAAGCCGCCAUCAUCAUCGAACCGUUGAACCAUCUUCAGGAUAGAGAUCCGCAUAAUCCUUGUCAGUCCGGCCAUCCGUCGACGCCACCACGACGCCCAACGGCACCACCUCCCUGCGCUCGUCCAUCC